RNAcentral lists this ribosomal RNA (424 nucleotides) under uncultured Bacillota bacterium. RNAcentral's name for it is "bacterial SSU rRNA". It matches the Rfam family "Bacterial small subunit ribosomal RNA", at positions 958 to 1385 of the family's 1533-position model. The record is from RNAcentral. Lineage: Bacteria; Bacillati; Bacillota.
AACGCGAAGAACCUUACCUAGACUUGACAUCUCCUGAAUAGCCGGUAACUCGGCGAAGCCUUUCGGGGCAGGAAGACAGGUGGUGCAUGGUUGUCGUCAGCUCGUGUCGUGAGAUGUUGGGUUAAGUCCCGCAACGAGCGCAACCCUUAUCAUUAGUUGCUACCAUUUAGUUGAGCACUCUAAUGAGACUGCCGUGGUUAACGCGGAGGAAGGUGGGGAUGACGUCAAAUCAUCAUGCCCCUUAUGUCUAGGGCUACACACGUGCUACAAUGGUGAGUACAAAGAGACGCAAUAUCGUGAGGUGGAGCAAAACUCAAAAACUCAUCCCAGUUCGGAUUGUAGGCUGAAACUCGCCUACAUGAAGCCGGAGUUGCUAGUAAUCGCGAAUCAGCAUGUCGCGGUGAAUACGUUCCCGGGCCUUGUA